GGCAACCAUGGCUAAGUGGUAGUGCAUUUGUUUUACAAGCAGAAGGUCCCAGGUUCAAUCCUUGGCAUCUCCA
RNAcentral lists this transfer RNA (73 nucleotides) under Sphaerodactylus townsendi. RNAcentral describes it as "tRNA-Val". Lineage: Eukaryota; Metazoa; Chordata; Lepidosauria; Squamata; Sphaerodactylidae. The record is from RNAcentral.